GCAAAUGGGGUAGGUUAAUGGAAGAAGGUGGAGGAAAUCUCAAAACUUUUGGAAUGCUUAGAGGAUAACGGAGUGCUGUCUCAUGUCCUUCAUGCAUUUUGAAAAUGUUUUCUUUAAAGACACAUAGUGUCUUUAACUGAGUUACUUCUAUACACUAUUCUUGGAUUUUUUCUUAACCUCUACUCUCCACUCACCCACUUUCACUUGUUAAGUGGCUAGUUUUCAGAUUUUAGUUGUUUCUACUUCUCAUCUCCAAAAAACUGUACAAUCUAGAGGGGAAAAGUAACACACACACACACACACACACACACACACACACUGUAAAAAUAAGGCUAUUACCCAAGCAUUCUCCAGGAGUUUACAUACAUAUCUAUUCAGUAUGGAGAGAAACAUUCACAUUUUGUGUUUUGGUUUGAUAGUUAUUUGAAUCCUUCAUAUAAAAUUUUAAUAAUUAUCUGUUUUGGUAUUUUUGAGUGAUUUUUUUCCUCUUAUUUUGUAGUAAGGUAUUCCAAGGAAGUAAGUAAAGGCACAUUUUCCAGUGAAAUAUUGGACUUUGUAUGUUAGUAGUCUUGUCUUUUGUAAGAGACUGAACAGAAAGAAGCAAGGUUUAAGGGAAAAGUUGCUUUGGGUAUUUCAUCCAGACCUGCUAGCAACAUGUCGAGGAGAAAGAGGCAGGCGACUCAUUGCAGCAGUCAUGGCUGUUCACUCCCAGCAUAAAUCAGUGGCGAUUUCUCUUCCCACUUUUCUGUCUCUUAACUCAGGAGUCUCUUUGGCAUUUGGACCCUUGUCUUACACAUGAGGGAAGAGGCAAUAUCAUGGGCUUUAGUUGUGGAAUUUUCUAUUCACUUUGCAUGGUGUUUUUUACUCUUCCAAGCCCUACUCCAACCACAUUUUUUUCAAGAUUUUUAUUUCACCAGGAUUUUUCCAGGGUGCUUCAGGACUAAUAUCACCAAGUAUUCACCAGGUGAAGCACCUAAACAAAGAUUUAAGGAAAAUAAACUAUUAAAACCUCCUUAGGUCCACAACCCUAAAUGAGAGUUGCCCAUGGGGAGAAAUCCUAUGAUCCUGGAAUCAGUCUAAUAGCCUUUCUGCCUCUUCCCUUGGUCCUGCCAUCCAUUGUCAUGUCAUAAUGAUAACAAGAGAUGAUGCCCUCCAGCCUUUACAUUGCAUACUCCAGCCUCCCAACAUAUAACAUCAUCUCGAAACUAGAUAUUUUCCUCAGUUCUUCCCAGUGGCACAGGAAAAUUCUUUCCAAAAUAACAGGAUUAAACUAAGGGAAUAGAUCUAGGUCCUUGACCAAAGGUUACACUAGCUGUAUUAGUGCUUAUAGACUCGUCUUUCACUAGUACCAUACAGAGUAUGGAGAAAAGCUCUGGACAUGCAGAAGGAACAUUCCACUGCCCUGUGGCCUCUUUGAAUGACCUCUGACAGACAGUCACAUUCAGUCCAACUUUUUGGGAUAUGGAUGGGCAUCUGCCUAGUCAUAUUUUUCGUUACAGUCAAGUCCUACUCCAAAGGUUUUACCUGAACCAUUAACAUAGUCUCUUUUCUUUGAAUGGCAGCAUCAAUGUGUAAUCUUAUCCAGCCUUAAAUAUUCUUGCAAAAAAUACCAAACCUUGAUAAAAGUAGAAUCUUCAUAUUGUGAGAGGGAUUUUUUGUUUGGUGAGGCCUGAGAUCAAAAAUUUUCUUCUUCUGAAUUUGGCACGCAUCCUGAUACCCUACGGUGUCUUGAGCAGGCACUUCCCUGGCUGACUAGCCUAGGGCCUGAAGUCGGCUGUGUAUAAAUGAAUGCACAUAGUCACAUUCCAAUAAAACCUGGCUUGUAAGGGCAGGAAAUAAUUCAGAUUUAGUUCUUGGAAUUUAAUUUCUUAGUCCCAAAGGUAGAACAUUAUAAUGUCCAUUUCAAAUGAGAAAUUAAUCUCCCUCUGGCAUGUUUGGGGCCUUCUUUUAUGAAAAGUGAGAGAGCAAGGAAAAUUAAUUCUAAGUAAAUAAUCAACAUGCCCCCAAUAUAACUAUAUAUACAUAUAUAUAAAUGUUAGAAUAUUUAUUAUGGAAAAAGCACAAAAAAGCAAAAUAGAUCGUCUCCUAUGUGGAUCUGCUGGAGUUUCCCUUUGGAUCUUCUAAUUUUUGUUCCUGUAACAGAGACCUAAGUGAUGUUGUCUCAUUCCAAGUCAAUUUUGUAGGUCACAUAACAUGUCUUAAUACACUGUAUGGAAAAAAUUAAAGUUAGUUUUAGAUUUCUUUGUUUUCUAUGGUUAUUGUUGUACAGAAGAAAGACAUAAACUGUAAAUAAUGUAUAUUUAAUAAAGAGAG
This 2313-nucleotide long non-coding RNA is filed under the name Heterocephalus glaber (naked mole-rat). RNAcentral's name for it is "lncRNA (ENSHGLG00000049608.1)". The record is from RNAcentral. Lineage: Eukaryota; Metazoa; Chordata; Mammalia; Rodentia; Bathyergidae.